RNAcentral lists this unclassified non-coding RNA (265 nucleotides) under Hevea brasiliensis (rubber tree). The record is from RNAcentral. Lineage: Eukaryota; Viridiplantae; Streptophyta; Magnoliopsida; Malpighiales; Euphorbiaceae.
UCAUAUCAGGAUAAUUGGUUCCAACAAAAUGUUUUUAAUCAAAGGUCAAAAUUAUCAAUUUAGAGAGAAAAGACGCAUAGAUAGAUGUAACUCUGCAUUUGAAUCAACCAUUGAAGUUGGUGGUGAUCGUGGAACCAAAUGGUGGUCUACAUGGGAUGCUUAGACACAAUGGUCUCUGCACAUUUACAGCAAAGGAAGUACAUCUAGUAUUUGGGAGAAGGAACAAUGAAUUACCAAGUCACUAAACAAGGAACACCAAUUGGGG